AUGGCUGUCGUCAGCUCGUGUCGUGAGAUGUUGGGUUAAGUCCCGCAACGAGCGCAACCCUUGUCUUAUGUUGCCAGCACGUAAUGGUGGGGACUCGUAAGAGACUGCCGGGGUCAACUCGGAGGAAGGUGGGGACGACGUCAAGUCAUCAUGCCCCUUAUGUCCAGGGCUUCACACAUGCUACAAUGGCCGGUACAGAGGGCUGCGAUACCGUGAGGUGGAGCGAAUCCCUUAAAGCCGGUCUCAGUUCGGAUCGGGGUCUGCAACUCGACCCCGUGAAGUCGGAGUCGCUAGUAAUCGCAGAUCAGCAACGC
RNAcentral lists this ribosomal RNA (314 nucleotides) under Rhodococcus sp. (in: high G+C Gram-positive bacteria). RNAcentral's name for it is "bacterial SSU rRNA". It matches the Rfam family "Bacterial small subunit ribosomal RNA", at positions 1045 to 1357 of the family's 1533-position model. The record is from RNAcentral. Lineage: Bacteria; Bacillati; Actinomycetota; Actinomycetes; Mycobacteriales; Nocardiaceae.